This 856-nucleotide ribosomal RNA is filed under the name uncultured bacterium. Its description in RNAcentral is "bacterial SSU rRNA". It matches the Rfam family "Bacterial small subunit ribosomal RNA", at positions 30 to 916 of the family's 1533-position model. The record is from RNAcentral.
UGAACGCUGGCNGGCAUGCCUUUACACAUGCAAAGUCGAACGGUAGAGUAGCAAUACUUGAAGAGUGGCGAACGGGUGAGUAAUAUAUCGGAACGUGCCCAGUCGUGGGGGAUAACGCAGCGAAAGCUGUGCUAAUACCGCAUACGAUCUCUGGAUGAAAGCGGGGGACUCGCAAGAGCCUCGCGCGAUUGGAGCGGCCGAUAUCAGAUUAGCUAGUUGGUGGGGUAAAAGCCCACCAAGGCGACGAUCUGUAGCUGGUCUGAGAGGACGACCAGCCACACUGGAACUGAGACACGGUCCAGACUCCUACGGGAGGCAGCAGUGGGGAAUUUUGGACAAUGGGCGCAAGCCUGACCCAGCGACACCGCGUGGAGGAUGAAGGCUCUAGGGUUGUAAACUCCUUUUGCCAGGCUCUUCAAGGCCUGGAGAAUAAGCCUCUACUAACUACGUGCCAGAAGUCUCGGUAAUGCGUAGGAGGCAAGCGUUAUCCGGAAUUAUUGGGCGUAAAGAGUGCGUAGGCGGUCUUUCAAGUCCCGACUUAAAUACUAUAGCUCAACUAUAGACAAGGUCGGGAUACUGAUAGACUUCGAGGAUCGUUCGGGGCAUCGGAACAGUUGGUGUAGUGGUGAAAUACGUUGAUAUCAACUGGAACACCGAAGGCGAAGGCAGAUGCCUGGAAUUUUCCUGACGCUGAGGCACGAAAGCUAGGGUAGCGAAACAGAUUAGAGACCUGUGUAGUCCUAGCCGUAAACAAUCUCCGCUAGAUUCUGGUCGUAAGGUCGGAGUCGAAGUUAACACAUUAAGCGGAGCGCCUGGGGAGUACGGCCGCAAGGCUAAAACUCAAAGGAAUUGACGG